UCCGAGUCUGCUUUCUCUUUCUGCUUUUUUGGAGGGGAGAAAUGGAAUUCCGAAGGUGUCUUUGCUGGCCCCCUGCUAGCCUUCCUUGCUUUCCCCUCUCCGGCGGGGCGGCGGCGUUUCUUUCGCUCUCGCCGGCCGCCCGGCUUUGCUCUGGCCGUGCUCAGCCCCGGUCCCCCUCCUCCCCCCCCCGGACCGUAUCCUCUUCCUUCUCCUCCUCUUUCAAGUUGCCACAGGAGCCACGACGAAGCGGGCGGCGGGGAAAGGCAUCCAGGAGGGUCACCCGGGGGAGGACGAGAGGGAGACCGGGGGAAGGAAGAGGGCGAGGAGGAGCGGGAGCAGGAGGCAAAGGAGGAAGAGGAGGAGGCGGCGAUCGGCUCGCCGGACAACACCCGCCCAGGCCGGCCAGCCCCGCUCCCGCGCCGUCCGCCGGCUAGCAGCACGCCUGGCCGGCGGGCCGGCGGCGGGCCAGCGGCGGGCAGGCGGCGGGAGCCCGCGGGGUGCAGCCGCCGCGGUCGCCGCCGCUCCUUGGGGUCUCGCUGCCGGGGCUGCGGCCGCCUCCGUGGCCGCCACUGCAGCCGCCGGCGGCGGGGCUGGUGCGGGGCUUCGGCCGCGGCGGGCUGGCGGGCGCCCGGCGGCGGCGAGCGGGGAGUCGGCGAGGCAGGGGCCGAGGCGCGGCUGGCUGCCGCUCAGGGCGCGCGAGUGUCCGGGGGCCAGGUCCGAGGAGGCAGCGCCGCGCAGUCAGCCAUUCAGCAGCGGCGGCGCUUCGCAGAGCAGCUCCGCCGGAGAGGAGGAGGAGGAGGGCGCCGGAGCCGAGUUGGGGAGGCACUUUGCGGAUCCGUCGCUGCCGCCGCCGCCGCUGCUCCUGCCGCCGCCGCCGUUGUUCUCGGCCGUCCCUCGGCUGCCGCUGCUUCUCCGCCCUCGCCGCGCCGCUCGCCUUCCUGCUCCCUUAAUUUCGCCGGGAAACGUACAAAGGCGACGAAGCCCAAGCGCCGUCCACUUCGCUCCGCCGACCGAGGGUCUCCAGCCAAGUGGCAAAGCAAAAGGCGAACAUGGAGAGAAAGCGAGUGUCAGACACGCCAAGGAAGGGGAGGGAAGAAAAGCCAAAGGAGCGAGAGCGAGAGAGAUCCAAAGUAG
This 1134-nucleotide long non-coding RNA is filed under the name Salvator merianae (Argentine black and white tegu). Its description in RNAcentral is "lncRNA (ENSSMRG00000007681.1)". The record is from RNAcentral. Lineage: Eukaryota; Metazoa; Chordata; Lepidosauria; Squamata; Teiidae.